AUAUAUUUAUUGUUUAUUUAUUGUUUAUUUAAUUAUUUAUUAUUUAAUAUAUUUAAUUAUUAUUUAU
RNAcentral lists this transfer RNA (67 nucleotides) under Ulva compressa. Its description in RNAcentral is "tRNA-Tyr". The record is from RNAcentral. Lineage: Eukaryota; Viridiplantae; Chlorophyta; Ulvophyceae; Ulvales; Ulvaceae.